RNAcentral lists this long non-coding RNA (15402 nucleotides) under Coffea arabica (coffee). RNAcentral describes it as "long non-coding RNA (CARA_LNC005117)". Lineage: Eukaryota; Viridiplantae; Streptophyta; Magnoliopsida; Gentianales; Rubiaceae. The record is from RNAcentral.
CAAAUGUGAACUAGAAUCUACAAUUGCACUUACUUAUUGAUUGAAUUGCACAGCUUGUAACUUUUGAAAACUUUGUUGAAUCAAAUCCUGUUUCAAUUGGAUAGAAAUGAUUAGGAUGGCACACUACAGGCACACUUUUCUUUCUUCCUGGUGUCUAAAACCUGAUAAAAUGCUCUAUCUCUGUCAGCUGGCCUCUGCAAACUGCCCACCAGAAUUUCUUUCCCCAGCUUAUGUAAUGUCUUUCAAGAUCAAGAGCCAUCAUUACCAUGAAUUUCUGCUAAUGAUCAUGGGGGGUUUGGUUGGUGAUAGAGCUUGUACUAGAGAAACAGAUUGACAAUGAGGAGCUUGCAAAUUUUCAAGAAGUACUGUAAGGUUAGCGAAUUUGUUUUAAAUGGAUUAGUAGAUGUACUUGGUAUCAAGUCUUAUUUCCUGCUCAUUAGUUUUAGAACAAAGGUAACAAAAAGAAACCCUUUCUGUAAGAUUCCUAGCUCAAAUAUGACAUGGAAUUUGCUCUUCUAUCUUUAUUGUAAUGCAGGCAAACAUGCCUUCCUGAGAUUUUCAAUCUAAAAGGUCCUCAUCCAACUAAGUACUCUGAAAGUUCAUUUGGUUAUCAAUUUGCUAGAAAGGAAUGAUAAUGCAUUUACAUUCAUGAAAUAGAUUGUUAAAUCAAAGUUUGAUGGAACACAGAAAAUUAUAGAUAGGCAAUGAUGGACAAAGAUUUUAGGAGUCAAUUUCUAGUUUAUUGUUUCUGCAAGACAACAUACUCCAGUGAAAUCAUUACUAAAUUCUUUUAAAUCUAUCCAAUAUCAGGUGAUAGAAAUUGUACAAUAAGAUGAUUUUGUUGCAAAAUAUCUGAAUGUUUAGAACGUCUGCUUCCAAGAUGUUGUCUAGUAAUGUAACAGUAAGGUCAGUUGUCUACUUUGUUGAACUUUUCCUGGCCUUUUCAGCCUGAUUCAAAAAAACUCAACAAGCGUUGUUCCGGGAAGAAAACAAUAUCGCUAACCAUAUAUUAAAUUCAAUUAUGGAAUACAGAUGUUCAAGAGGAGAUUAUUUGAUGUGGACAGUUAAACAUGAUGUCAAAGCUGAAAACUUUUGUAUUUUCAUCUACGGUACAAAAUUCUUUGUUUUAAAUAAAAAAUAGCAGUUUACUUUUGCUCAUGCUUGUUAAACAUGAUUGCUGAAAGGAGCUAAUUCUCUUUAAACUCGAGAUUCUACCGGGAAGGAAAUGCUUGUUCUGAACUUCCAUCUCUUGGAAAUGUAUGUAUCAUCUUGCUCCAAAUUAUCUGAUUAUUGGUAUUCUUAUUAUGUCUCUUAAAUGAUGGGAUUCUACUUUCUUCAGCUAUGAUCUCUUGACCUAAAUCCAAUGUUCAAUCGAAUUACUCUCACUGCCCUUGGUUGUGGGAUUGGUGGUCUGAUAAUUUAUAAUACCAACUAUCUUCUUCCACUACUUAAUAUUGGGUUUUAAGCAGUUUAAGCAUUAACUAAAACCUUAAAAAAAUUGUCAUGUUUAAGACAUUUUCAAGCAGCAGAGACUUGGUAGACUAUCCUCUUCUGAAGUUUAAGUUCAAAUGCAAUGAUAUGAGUUAUUAGCUCUACUUGUUGCAUCUUGCAGUCUCAAAUAGUUCGCUUUUUUGGCAAUUCUGGGACUCUCUGCCUCUCCUGCUUGUGGGUGCCAGUCAUUAUUGUUAUAGAACUUUUCUUUUUCAGUGUUUUGAACAAAAGCUAAUAUAGUUUUUGUGAUGCUUCUGGUACUUGUGGACUGAACAGAAAGAUUUGAUAUCUGCUUACUGAUUUACGUUAGAAAAGAAGAAAAAAAACAAAUAUUGAUUUAGCUUUCUGAAUAAUUGACUAGACAAAAAUGUCAUGCAAUUUCGUGUUUGCCUCAUGAUUUGCUAAUGCAAAGUCCUGAGUCUGAGUUUUCUGUUUUGCAGUGGCUGUAGGUUUAUAGCUCUGUAGGGAACCCUGAUGGCUCCUAAUCACCGCCUUUACUUUUCAAAGUCCUUUCUUUCCUUUGAAGUAUAUCAAGUGAUAAUUGGAGCAGCAACAGAGUAGGUCUGCCAAGUAACUCUUUAUCAUGAAUAAGUGCAAUAUUUCAUAACCUUUACGACUAAUAAACCAUGCAUGGUUCCAUACCAAUCUAAACUAACGGAACUAAACAAUCAUUUUGGUUAAUUUAAAAUGUCAAAUUGGUAUUUCUCCCGUUGUAUCACAUCUCAUUCGCUGUUGCAAAGAUCAAACAUGGCAAAUGGUGGUCCAAUUCAAUACCAUCCAUGUUUCAGUACUACACUUAAAGCUUCAGUUGCAUAUUUUUUUCAGUGACCGAGAUUUUCUUGGGUUAACUGAAUCACGUUUUUCAGUUGCAUAGUUUUGUUUAUCAUGCAUAUCAGUUACUGUGAUUGCUAACAUCGGUGCACUCUCUUUAAACUUGUGAUUUCACCAGGAUGAAAUGAUUGAUCUCUCUGAAGUUUCACACGUUGAAAAUGCAUUGGACAUUUUAGAUUUGAUACCACAAGCAGCAAUUCUACAAACCUUUUCUAUAAGACUACCAGUUCAUGGGGCCAGAUUAAAUCCACAUUGGGUUUUGGUGCCAAAUUAGCUUGUCAGUUAGUUAAGACAGUUUGGCCAUGAGGAAUAGAGGCACAAGCAUACCAAUAGUGGAUUUAGCUGAGACAGUAAGAGUAGCUUUGAUCAAGAGCAGCUUCUAUCAUCGUUGAUGUCCAGAAAAACCAAAGACAUUAGGCUGGCAAUUCUGAUGGAUGACAUCAACAAUUUAAGUUGUUUGUUUAAAAAAUGCUCAUUUUGUUUAGAUAUAGCAAAUGACAAUAUAAGUAAAUCUAUUAGUACUUAUGCAGUAAGUCUUUGUGGUGAAGAGGAAUGAAACAAUCCUCAAGGUGUUUAACACCUUUGUAUAGCCUCUCGGAACCGCUGCUUUACAAGUGUAAAGUUCUGAUUUUAUCAAUACAACACCUAUCGUUUUUGAAAAAAAAAAAAAAAAAAAAAGCUUACUUGUCAGUUAGGCAUCAAUAGGCCUUGUUUGGAUUGUAUUCUUUUGUAGAAAAAUUUUUCAGAUUUUUCCAAGAAUAUAUCUUGACAUAUUUUCUAGGGAUAAUUGCAGAAACCUCCCCUGACUUUUAUAAUAAUAGCAUUGACCUCCCCUAUCAAUAUUGAAAUAGCACUGACCUCCCCUAUCAAAAGUUGGAGGCAAUUUAAUAUGCAAAAGUGGAUCAAUUUACUAAAGUAUCCCUGACAUGAUUUAAUUUUACCAAAUGAAUGUGAUGAGUACUUUCAUCAAACCCAACAAAACAUUUGUUAAUAAAAAUUACACUAAGUUAACUAUUUCUGCAUAGUUUAACUAAUUAACUAAUAAUCUAAUUAAUUAAUAACUAAUUAUCUAAUUAACUAUUAACUAAUUAAUAUUCUUACUUUCAAACAUUUAAUUUAUGGCCAUAUGCUCCUCCCUUUUUGUAAGAAUAUUACUGUAACACUUUUUGAAUUUUACUUACAAACAUUGAUGUUUUUAUCAUAAAUUAAAUGUUUGAAAGUAAAAUACCCAUAAAGAGCCGAUACUGUAAAUAGGUAAUGCGUACUACAUAUAGUUUAACAUGCAAAUAGUCUGUUAAUUUGUUAGUUAGUUAAUUAGUUGAUUAGUUAAGCAGUUAAUUAGUUAAUUAGUUUAACAUGCAAAUAGUUUGUUAGUUUCGGACAGACAAUAGCUUUAGUUAAUUAGUUAAACAGCUAAUUAGAAAAAUAGAAAUUAGUUAAUUAAUUAAUUAGAUAAUUAGUUAAUUAGUUAAUAAUUAAUCAGAUAAUUAGUUAAUAGUUAAUUAGUUUAACUAUUAACUAAUUAGAUAAUUAGUUAAGCAAUUGUCAAGCAAAUAAUAAUUGUCAAGCAAGAAGAGGGCAAAAUUGGAAGAAAUUUCUUAUCUCACAUCUACAAAAGCUGUCAGGGAGGUUUCUGCAACAAAUUGUUACUGUUCAGGGGAGGUGAAUGCAAUUUCUAAACCUACAGGAGAGGUCAGUGCAAAUGUCAGAAAUCUCAGGGGAGGUUUCUGCAAUUAUCCCUAUUUUCUAAUUAUAUUUUUAGCUCAUACGCAUCAUAUUAAAACAAGUGCUACAGUCUAUUUUCCUACAAAAAAAAAAUCCAAAAAAAUUACUAUUCUAUAGCAUAUAUUUUACUCUAAUGUUUGUGUUUGCACAGAUUGAGUCCCUCAUACCAAACUAGAGCAUAUAUUUUACUCUAAUUCUUGGAUAAUGGAAUGAUAAAGAUAUUUGACAGAUGUAUCAACAGAUGAGGGAGGACAAGCUAAUGAUUUGCAGUCAUUGUUUGCCAUAGCUCAAAAUUUAUUUUCCGAGCACAUUUUGUUAAAAUGACGCAUUACGUCCAAACUACAAUUGGACUUGAGAAGGGCAAAUUUAGUAUUUUAUGCAAAAAAUUAUUGUGGAAAUAAAAUUUAUGUUGUGGCAUUAACAGCAACCUUCGUUUAGAGCCAUUAUUAUUUUUUUUCACCAUAGCUAUCAAAAAUUGCAAAAGUUCAAAUAUGAAGGGUGCUGCAAAUGGAGGUAGUAAUGAAAGAAAGGAAAUAAAAGAUUGGUAUACGUUGAAGUUACAUUUACCUAAUUCAUCCUUUGAUUUUAGAUUUUGCACACUGGAGCUUAUGUUAGGUAAUUGUAAAUCAUGUGGAGACCAAUGCUUUGUUUGGGAGCUUAGAUUUGACAGGAAAUGAGAAGAAAGUGAGAGAAUAUAGCUCUUUUAUGAUGUUUGGGAGUUGUGGAGCGAUUGAAAAAAAAAAAUGGGAAGAUUUUGGAUGGAUCAUUCUAGCAUUUACAGUUAAUAAUACUUUUCCAACAAAACAGAGUUGAAGCAAGCUUUCUAAAAUUGUUUAAAAUACCAAAUUUAUCCUUAAAUGUCUAUUAAACAAAUUUUUAUUGGCAUAUGUAUCCAAUAUCAUUUUAUUUCUUUACUAAACUCCCAAACAAUAUCAAAACUAAAUCUCUUUUUUUCUUUUCUUUCAUGACUUGAGCUUUCUAUUCUUUUCUUUUCUGUCUAAAACUCCCAAACUAGCUGCAAAUGUUGAAAAUGUUUGUACCUCUUAAAUGUCAAGAUGGCUUGCAUGGAUACAGAUAACAAUCAGAAUGUCCAUUAACAGUGUGAAAAGAUGUCAAGUUAAUGACUAUCUAACCGAAAUCUAUUGGUACCUGCAUGUAUCUAGAUGCAAAUUAGGCCAUUGAAUAUGCUUUUGAUACUAAUCAAACUCCAAGUGCCAGCUUCCAUCUACCACGGUGUUUUAACUACAUUGAGAAGCUGAUCUUCUUCCGAGUGAUUCUCUCUACGUUACAAAUUGGGGCUUUAAGUCAGGCAGCAUAAACAGAGGAAUCUUCAAUGUGUUCUCCAAAUUUACUUUGCACACCCAACUCUGCAUCUUGUUUCUUAAUUUUAACGUGAUGUGAGAAUAUGCUGAAGUUUAUGGCCCUUCCCAUUGAUUGUAUUAUUGUUCUUGCAAUUCUUAACUACUCAUGUCAAAAUGGUCAAUUUAAAGAUCUUGAUUUGCUUCCCACCACCAUUAGCAUGCUAUUGCUAUACAGUUUACUUUUCAAAAUUACCCUCUACUUCUUUCCAUGUAGCUUCCUUAAUGGUUUUUGAAAUGCAAAAGAAAAAAAGAAAAGUUAUUUGUUGGGCAUUAGAGGUAUAAUAUGAGAAAUUUUAUCUUGGUUUCGAUCAACUACUUGACACGUUAACAGUUAGUUUUUAACUAAUGAAAAUAUUCUAAAUAAAAUCGUGGACCUCAUUAAUUUCGCAUCACUAUCAAAUAAAAUCGUGUAGCCCUUAUUUCUCUAAUUGGUAUACUAUCAAAUCAUUCAAAAACUAAUUACUAUACUUGUCAAAUAUUUAGUUUAGACUGUAAUAAGAUUUUCUACCUUAAUAUAUAAGUAAAUCAUGUGGAUAUUACAAAAGCUGUCUUCCUUUUCGCUCUAGAACUCAUUUUUCUCUUCCUUCCCUCCAAAACUCCUCCAAUUAAAUCUACAAGUCAGAUCUAAAUUUUUCUUUAGACUUGAAGUAGUUUUUAUCAGAUUUGACUAUUCAACUUCUUCUCUGAUCUUCAAUUGAAAGCUGUUGUAGUAUAUAUGGUUGAGGAUUUAUAAGCUACGGCCCAACCUGCCCAACCUUCUCAAAAUAUUUUAGCAAAGAAAAAUCUCGUGUGUUCUUUGUUCUGAUUCUUGGCCCUGCUUCUUUAUGCUUUGAGAAGCUGACCAAGAAGAUUCUAAGAGAACUAUGACUGAAUUUAAGGGCUAACUACAUUUUACACUCUUGAACUUGGGAUUGAGAUGCAACACUUUAUGCUUUUGAACUUAAGAUAAGCUCCCCAAGGAUGACUGUAUAAAAUGUUUAGCACAAAGAUUAGGUCCAAAAACUGAAAGAAAUCACAUUAAUGCCCUGAAAUGAUAGCUAUGUGGGUGGCAGUUACCUUUAGGCAGGAAUUUGGGGUGGCUAUUGGCACACUCGGUGCACAUGAUUGAAACGAAAAUACAAAAUUAAUAGGGGACUUGGGAAAUUAUUUGCAUGGCAAAAAACCUCGAAAGUGGCCAAAAAUAAACAACUACACCAGUCUUGCACGGCUCCAAUUUCUUUCGUAAAUUUGUAUUGGCAUUUAAUAAUUUGGCUUUUUCUUCAUGAGAUGAGCCCUUAUGCGCAGAAUAGGCCUUGGACAAUUAGUUAAGGUUGAGAUGAUAGGAGUUAGAUGUUUUAGGUUCAAAACUUUAGUUACUUAAAUCUCACCUCUUCCUACUACUGAUAUUCAUUUCCCAGUUUUCUGAAAUUUCUUUUAAUUUUUUGAAAAAAUGUAGUUUUUGUCCUUAGUGUUUUGCACUUGUACGGUUUUAGUUCUAAAGUUUUAGCAAAAAAAAAAAAAAAAAUGAUCCUCAAUAUUUGGCAAAAAUUUUGAUCAAAAAUAAUUUUGGUUCCAAAUAGUUUCUGAAUUUAAGCAAAAUUGCGACAAUUGACUAACGUUUUUUAAUUACUAAUGGAACCUAAUAAUGUUCAGUCAUGUGUACAUUAAAUUAAUUUUGUAAGAAACAAGCAAAUCAAUGGAUAACCUUAAACAGUAAGAGCAACUCAUGUGAUGACACGUGAGUUAUUAAUUAACCAAGAAAAUAGGAAAAAAGGAAAUUUAUUUAAUUAUGCACAAAAACCAAGUGUUGGGGCUUUUCUUUUCUUUUUUUCUUUUUUUUUUUCUGAGGGUCAGCAGGGAUAGAUAGAGAAAAUAAGUUCAAAAUUGAUGAAUUAAAUGCUCUAACUAGUUUGAGUUUUGUACUUUAACAAUUUUUUUACCAAUUAAUUAGUUAGCACAUGAGUUAUUAAUCCUUAAUAUUGUCGUUUAAAGUUAGCCACUAUUUUUUCUUUAUUUUUAUAUUUCAAUUCUGUCAGUAAUUGAAAAAUAUUCAGUUAUCUAAAUCUAAUUUAUAUUGGAUACAUUGGAGACUAGAGUUAUUCUUAUAAAAACUUUAGGGACUACAACUGUGCAUGUGCUAAACAUUGAGGACUAAAUUUGUUUUUGUCAAAACUUUAAGGACUGGAGCUCGCAACAGGUGCUAUAUAUAAUGGCAUUUCUUCCUUUUAUUUUUGUAAUGCUUAAAAUACCGUUCCUCAUACUGGUCAUCUAAUCUAAUCUUUCUAAUGCUUCUGUUUGAGUCCUACAUGAUUACAAUCUUCCUAAACAAAUGAUUGUGAGAGAUAUAAUUAUGUAUCGUAUGUUUUGUGUAGUUCCACAAAACAAUCUUUCUAAUCUGAUCUUAUUAAACUAGGAGAUGCUCACCAUGCCCAGGUUGAGAGUACAGUAAAUAUUUAUUUCUGAAGGAUUUGUUGUACAGAGCACUUAUUUAUCUUGGUUGAAAUUUUUUUUUUAAUCCUGCAGGUUACUUUAUAUUUAAAGAGAUAGUCAGACCAUUUAAACUAAAUUCGUACAUCAAUGAUGUUGUGUUCUGGGUCAUUUCAAUCAGGUGCUUAUUACUGGUAACUAGAAGUUGAGGUGGAACAUGGAGUUUUAACUACUUGAAAUUUCUCAUUGAUUAGGGUAAUUGUACUCCUUAAUUUUUUUUUUCCAAAUAAAAGUAAAAAUUUAUUAAGUCACUUGAAAAUAAGUAUAAGACGGAGGAGGGCAUAAAUGUUACCUCCCGAUUCCAAUGAAGUUCAAAAAUUUUUUUAUUUAUCUUCAAGCAUGAGUUUGUUUAUGUGAUAAUCAUUCUAUAAAUCACCAUCGCACUGUGGAUGAUUUUUUUUUAGAUAAAUUUUCUAAAGCAGUCAGGCAGAAUAAUUGUUUAGGCCUCUAUUGCCGAACUUCAUUUCCGAAUACAAGUUUGAAGCAAAUCCACAUUUCAAGUUAUUCUUUGCCAAACUUCAUCCACCACGGGUAUUAACACAAGCAAGGAAUACAAUGUGGGGUACUCAUUGAUGGCAACACCACCAAAUUAGACUCAGCAUCUUGAUUAUGCAAAGUUGAAAAGGCUCAAUGCUCAACGAUAUCAGAUUCUGAUUUACAAAAUAAUUAGAAGCCUAAUUGAUUUUUGUAUUGAGACACAAAUUAUGUCUCUAGCUAAGAAGCAAAAUCCAACAGAGUUAGUGUGGAAGCUAACAGGAUAAGGUGUGCGUUAAGACCAAAUUAUGUUCUAAUUAGUUCAUCUUUCAAGGAUUAACGAAUAAAGAUGAAGCCCCCAGCAAGAAAGUUAAAGUGAAAAUCCCAAGUCAGGAAUUUCCAUUUCAAAGCAUCCAAGUUUCCCAAGAAAUUUAAAGUGAAGAUGCCAAGGAAGGCACCAAAGUUAAGAAUAAGUCUGCACUUUUAAGCGACCAAAUACCAAUGCUCUCCUCUUUUUAACCACUUGUAACAUUACCAAUUUCUGGCUGCUAAAACCUCCCAUUUUAAAAAAACCAUCUUGAUCUCAGGACUGAAUCCAAGCUAUUCCAAAAAAAAAAAAAAAUGGCUGACGCUCUUAUCAGCUCCACAAUUCAGGUCACCUUGGAAAGGGCACUGUCUCUUGCCUCUGAUAGGAUUGGUUUGCUGGUUGGGUUCAAGAAGGAUGUGGCCGGCAUGACACGUUCUCUCCGCCUGAUCAAUGCUGUCUUGGCUAAUGCUGAAGCAAAGCAAAACCAGGACGGAGCAGUGCAAGAAUGGUUGAAGAGUCUCGAGGAGGUUGCUUAUGAGGUUGACAAUUUGUUGGAUGAGCUCCACUAUGAGUCUCUUCAUCACCAGGUGGAGUCCCGAAACCGACACAAGCUCAAGGUAUGCUGCUUCUUCUCCUUCUCUAAUAUUAAUCUUGCUUUUCGUUGGAGAAUGGCUUCUAAGGUCAGGGACAUCAAACUUAAGUUGAAUGAGAUAAAUCAAGAAGCCAACGGAUUGGGACUGGUCAGUAGGUUAGGGAUGACAGCUGCCCUCCCUGCUGCUGUUGGAGACACAAGAAGUCAGCAGACCGACUCUGUUGUUGCUCCAAUGAUUGGAAGAACCAAUGAUGAAUCAAAGAUAGUGAAGAUGUUGUUGAGCCCGUCUGAGAAGGUUGUUUCUGGUCUUCCCAUAACUGGUAUGGGAGGUCUAGGCAAAACAACUUUGGCUAAAUCGAUAUACAACAAUCAGCAAAUUGAUGAGCACUUUCAGAAAAAGAUUUGGGUUUGUGUAUCGAAAAAAGUUCCAGUAGUAGAACUUUUCAAACUCAUGUUAGUGCAAUUGAUGAAAGGAAAAGUUGAAGUGGAUGAUAGGAAUGUCAUUGUUGAACACAUUCAAAAUCAACUAGGGGAAAAGAGAUAUUUCCUAGUCCUUGAUGAUGUGUGGGAUGAUGAUCAAGCAUUGUGGGAUGACUUUUUCACCACCUUGAAGGGGCUCAAUCCAACUAAUGGAAGUUGGUGUCUGGUCACUACUCGUUUAGGUCCAGUGGCACAUAGUGUGUCUAGAGUUUUGAGGAUGAUGGAAAAUGAAGCCUAUCCAUUAGGAAAACUACCUGAUGAUCAUUGUUGGUCUAUCAUAAAAGAAAAGGUAGUUGGAGAGGGAGAAGAACCUGAUGAACUAAAAGCAAUUAAAGAGAGAGUAAUCGAAAGAUGUGACGGUCUACCAUUGGCUGCAAGUGUAAUCGGAGGUCUAUUGUCUUUAAAGAGAAAAGAGGAGUGGCGAUCAAUUUUGGAGAAUAGGCUUUUGAGUAUGAGUGGAGAUGGAGAUCGUGUGAUGCAAAUACUUAAGUUUAGUUUUGAUAAUUUGCCAUCUCAAUACAUUAAGAAAUGUUUUGCACAUUGGUCUAUAUUUCCUAAGGAUAGUGAGAAAGAAAGGAAUAUGCUUAUCGAACUUUGGAUGGCAGAAGGUUUCCUACAAGUAGAUGCCACCAGCCAAAUGAUGAUGGAGGAAAUUGGAAUGAAUUAUCUGAGAAUUUUAUUGCAGAGUUCAUUGUUGGAAGAAAUAAUUGAUAAGUCAGAAACAUCAAUAUCUUAUAAGAUGCAUGAUUUGGUGCACGACCUUGCAGAGUCAAUGUCAAAGUCUACCAAAGUCAUUAUUGAUCGGGAUACAUAUAUAGUAGACAAUGGUGAUCAGAUUCGUUACCUUGCAAUAGACUUGUCUAGUGGUCGAGAAGACAGAGAAAAACUUUUGGAGAGUCAAUCAAUGUCUCUUCAUACAUUGUUUGUAAAUGGUGACUUAUCUGAUGACAUGUUAAUGAAGUUGAAGAACUUGUAUGUUUUGUUUUUGUCUACUGAAACAACUCAAGAGCUACCAGUAUCAAUUGGCAAACUGAUACAUUUGCGGUAUGUUAACCUUUCGAAGUCUUCAAUUAGUAUUUUGCCAGACUCCCUUUGCAAGCUUUAUAAUCUGCAGACAUUGGCGCUAAGUGGCUCACAAGUUAAAGAUCUUCCGAAGGGGAUGUGCGAUUUGAUUAGCUUGAGACAUCUCCACUAUUAUAAUGAUGAUGAAGAAUUUCAAAUGCCGCUAGAGAUGGGACGGCUGACUUGCCUUCAAACGCUUGAGUUCUUUAACGUGGGGCGAGAGAAGGGUCGACGAAUUGGAGAGCUUGGAAGCUUGAAGAACCUCAAAGGCAAAUUGGAGAUACGCAAUCUUCAACUAGUAAAGGGUAAAGAAGGAGCUGAGGAAGCAAAACUAUCUGAAAAGGCAAAUCUAUUUAGGCUGGAACUUGAGUGGGCCCUUGAUCGAGAAGGCGACGACUACAAUGACGAAGAUGUGUUAGAUGGCCUUCGACCCCACCCAAAUUUGAAGGAAUUGGUAAUUUGAUAUUUUCUGGGUGAUCAAUUUCCUCGAUGGUUAAUGGAUUUGCCAACAACAACAACACUCCCUGAGUCAGCAAAACACUCCCCGAGUUAGCGUGUUUGGUAUUUUUUGGCUGCGACAGAUGCAGAGAACUCCUUCCCCUACAAAUCUUUGCGUCUCUUAAAGAGCUGCAGAUUUGGUGUUGUGACGGGUUGACGAAUCUGCCAGGUGACAUGCUACGCUCUUGUGCCUCUCUCCAGAAGCUUGAGGUGACUGGUUGUGACAAUCUUAUCUCCUUUCCGCUUGAUUUGCAACAAAUGCCUUCUCUCUCGGAGCUGAAAUUAUACGAGUGUCCCGAACUGAAAACAAGCAUGACGCCCAAAGGAUUUGGUUUCCUAACCAGCUUAAGGAAGCUUGUAAUUGGUCCUUUCUCAGAUGAUGGUGAUGAUCAUGAAAAUUCUUCAAUUUACAAUGAGUUUGAUUGGUCUGGAUUGAUAUCCUCCUCCUUCUUCUCUUCGUCAUCCGCACUCCGUGAAUUAGAAUUAUUUGGGUUGCCACACAUGGAGUCCCUGCCACCUCAGAUCCAAUACUUGACCACUCUCACGUCACUAACGCUAGUUGUCUUUGGAGGUAUAAAAGCUCUGCCAGAUUGGUUCGGAAACUUUGCGGCUCUUGAAGACGUGCACUUAUGGUUUUUCAAAGAGCUUGGACAUCUACCCUCUGAGGAUGCCAUGAGAAGUCUCACCAAACUAAAACGUUUGGAGGUUUAUGGUUCUCCUCUGUUAAAAGAAAGAUGCACUCCUGAGAGCAGCGGCCCCGACUCCCAGUGGUCCAAAGUUUCUCACAUUCAAGACCUACGCAUAACCGAUCAUUAUUAACCACUCAUCUUCAGAUCAAAUUCAAUCAUGUAAGAUUGCCUCUUACCAACUUUCUUAAUUUGCUUUACAAUCAAUCUCCCCUUCUCUUCACCUCCCCCUCUGAUUAACCUUCUCGUGAGAAAACCUAAAAAGUCUCCAUGUUUAUUUUCGCAAUUUUCUCUUCUCCCUUUUCAUCGUCCUAUUUAUUAUCUUUCAAAGCUGCGGCAUUAGCAUUUCUUAUUAGGUCCAAAAUAUUGGUGCUCUUCAUUUACUCCUUACAACAUAAUAGUAAUACUCUUGUAACUCUUGUAAUACUCUUGGGCCAAAAUGUUCUUUUUUCCUGUGAGCCGCCGCACAUCCGAGGGAAGAAGAAUUGCGCAGCAAAGGACUAGGGCGAUCUGGCUUUCUUCGUAGUUUUUCGUCUUUAGCUUAGCCUGAAUUUUAUUGACUUUUCCCUUGGACUUACUUUUUGGCUUUGGGGACUUACGAAUGUCAGGACCCCUAAGCCAUUCUUGGCUUUUGACUUUUCUUCAUCUUUGAACUUUUAGUAUUUACGUUCCUUUCUUCGUAUGUCAUUCGAAGUGAAAUGGAGGGCUACCUCUUGUAACUUUGCUAUCUUUUCUUGAUUGCAGCGAAUUGCAUUUCCCAAUUUUUGUGACAAUGGCCGCGACUCUUGUUUCAAAUUCCUGUGGACUUAGUUCAUCAAACAUGAACUAAUUUCACCACUCUAGUCAAGGAGCAACGGAGGCUCUGAUUCACCUAAAAAUUGUGAGAUCGAUUUAAUUUAAUCUUUUCCUUUUAUUUAUUGGUAUUCGCAUAUUCCUUGAUUGCUAUACUUAUGGUUAUUUAAUUAAUUGAUUGUCUUAGAUCUGGAUAAUUAAUUGAUUUAGUAACCUAUUGUCAAUUAGGGCAUUAAAUCCGUAAUUGUUUAAUUGUCCUGAAAUAGUGACAACUAGCCCGAUUAGGUUCGUGUCAAGGGGAUACGCGGGCUAAUCUGAGAUAACCCUGGUAGUGCGUUAUUUGGUUAGAAUAGGGCUCCUUUAAUACGUAAGGCAAUUGGGGAAUUAAAUCUUACGGGCGUACCUAGGAUUAUCUCCUAAUUAAAGUAGUGAUUAACGGGCGUACCUUAAUCACCGACCCAAUAAGGAGGGGUUGACUGCCAUCGCUUGUUUAGUAGUUAUAACCUAUUUAUUGAUAAAUAAUUGGAAUUGCCUUUGCUUCGAUGAUCAAUUAGGUGAACCAUUGCUGAAGUUAUUUCUUGGCUAGAUCUUUAAUUAAUAUUACCUUGAUUUUAGUGAAUUGCCAUUUGACUUUUAGUUGCCUACUUUAUUUUAUUUUUAAUUGUUUUCUUGUUUUAAUUGAUUUAGGCCUUUAAUUAUUAUUACUUUAAGCUCAAUGAAUUGUUGUUUAAUUUCUAGUUAGUUAUUUAUUUUUAUUUUCUUAUUUGAAUUUAUUUGAUUGUCGUCGUUCCUACAAAAUCACCCCCUGUGUUACCUUGGAUUUCUUAAGAGACAAAUAUACCCAGUCCCUAAGGAUACGACCCUACUUCCCCUAUCUACAAAUUCAUAAUUAUUUGUGAAAAAAAUAACCAUCCCAUUCGGGUAUAUCGGAUCAAGCAAACUCUUCAGGAACAGGGUGAAUCAAGUAACCCAUUGCACACCUAGAGUCCCUGCUCUAAUACUUGGAAUUGGGUUUUGGUCAUUUUAAUUGGCAAUUAGGUUUAUUUUAUUAUUGCACAGGUUUCGACAACCUGUCAGUUCUGUUUAUAUUACAUGCUCUGCUUCUGUGGAUUUUAAGUUGUUAUUGCUAAAGUCAUCUCACUCUAUUUAAAAUUGUGAUUCUAAGGGGACUGAACUUUUACCUCUUGUCUCUUGAUAAUGAACUUGCAUAGCUAUCUGAACUAUUUGACUAGUAAUUGGUCUAUCAGAGUCGUAUAUGAUGGAUUUCUGGCUCACUUUUCCUUGAUUUUGGCUUUUUAUCCAUGAAGACAAUGGUUAAUUGAGGAGUUUUCGCAGCUGUUGGUCAUCACUUUCAUGUUUUGGUUCAAAAAUUCUAGUAAUUUUAGAUAUGCUUCUCUUCUUUCACUACUCAAUUUUGACUUUUAACCCUUCAAUAUCUAAUCUAUUAUGUAUGAAACAAAAAACAAAUCUUGUCAUCACGAAGAUAUUUUUGAGGUAGCAAAGGAAGGUUUGUAGUGUUUGAGAGAUGAAGUUGCACAAAACUUGGUGGAGUAUCUUCCAACUGAACAACUCUAUGUGCAAUGUUCUGAAGCAUUAUGGUAGUUAGUCAAGUCUGCUUGUUGUGAAUUGCUUCUCUUAAUGAAUCCAUCUUGAUAGAGGCUUCAGUUACAAUGACAGAAAAACUAUAAUUAUCUAAAAAUUUCCAUUAGUUUUAUUCUAUGCUAUUCGCCGCCUUCAGUUUGAGUUUUUGUGCUUUGCAGUGAUUUUGGGCACAAACCUCAACAGGGAACCUCAUGGAUGGCUCUUACCUACUGUCUUUACUUUUUGAAAGUCCUACAAUUCGUUGCUGAACAAGAUCCUGCUUCGGCUGAAUGGCAACAUCUAGGAUGGCAUUCUCUUUUCCUCUGUGCCUCAGAUGGUCAAAGUCUGAGAUAUCUAUUGGGGUAUGGUUCUUUUAAACUAUCGAAAUGAUUCAGUGAUGUGUAGUCAUGAUAAUAAGGAGCUGAUUUACAUGUUUUAGAACUCAAAUUGUCAUCUCUAGCAUACUGCUCAGAGUUAGAGGUUAGAACUAACUGGUGUUUUGGUAGCAAUUAAAUGUGGAUAUCUAUUGUGCUUCAGUGGCCCACAGCUCUAUUGUUUCUCAAUGCCUCAAUGUGAAAUGCUUUGCCCGCACUACAAAUUGUCCAUUAUUAUUUUCAUUUUAUGAGCUGUAAUGACUUGCUUUAUGGUUGGAACCAAACUACUGUAAUUGUAAACACGACUUAGUACUUGCUUAUCUAUUUAGUUUCAUAACAAACAAGACAUAUUUUAGCCUUUUGUAGGAAUGACAAAACAAAAUUAUUGUUGAAUUUUCUGAACUUUCUGAUUAGCUUUCUUGUUCACAUAUUGUCUCAACUCGAGUUUUCUGUUCUGCAAUGAUUUCAGGCUCAAAUGUGAACUAGAAUCUACAAUUUUACUUGCUUACUGAUUGAAUUACACAGCUUGUAACUUUUGAAAACUUUGUUGAAUCAAAUCCUGUUUCAGUUGGACAGAAAUGAUUAGGAUGGCACACUACAGGCACACUUUUCUUUCUUCCUAGUGUGUAAAACCUGAUAAAAUGCUCUAUCUGUGUCAGCUGGCCUCUACAAACUGCCCACC